GCAGCGGAGGUUCAGUGGUAGAAUUCUCACCUUCCGUGUGGGAGAGCCAGGUUUGAUUCCUGGCCAACACA
Molecule: transfer RNA, 71 nt
Filed under: Loxodonta africana (African savanna elephant)
Lineage: Eukaryota; Metazoa; Chordata; Mammalia; Proboscidea; Elephantidae
Rfam family: tRNA
About the family: Transfer RNA (tRNA) molecules are approximately 80 nucleotides in length. Their secondary structure includes four short double-helical elements and three loops (D, anti-codon, and T loops).
Source: Rfam by way of RNAcentral